UUUGGAUGACAGCCCGAACGCCCUAGCUGCCGUCCGAUUAUCUGCACAAAUCCUAGAGCACGUCUUAGUGCCAAGUCAGCAAAAAAAUUGUUCGGGAUUUUCUUGAACUGACCGAACGGCCACGUCUCCUCCCCCUUCCCUUAUCCAUUCAGCCACACACACAGGCCACUCACACCACAGUAGCAAGGCGGAUGGAGCGGCGCCUCCGGUGAUUCCCAACGGGCAUUGCAGGGGGGGAGCUGCGAUUCCCGGCGUGCACAGCCAGGGAGAGGGGCGAUUCAGGCGGUUCCGGCGGACAACGGAGGCGGAGGCCCGGCGACGAGCUUCCUGGGACAGUGCCAUGGACGCAUACGCGAUUGGGCGACACGAGGUCUCCUCCCCGGCGGCGUCCUCUCGUCGGUGAAGAGGGAGUCGCCCACCACGGGCUCUCGCCGCAGUGUGAGGAGUCGCUGGUGGAGGUCCCGCUCGCGGAGGGGAGCGACGACGAGUCCCCAUGAUUUUGCAGAGGGAGGGGGCGGUGCCGUCUUCAGGUGAGGCGGGGCGUGCCUAUGGCGCCGCCCACGAGCCGGAGGCCCUCCUCAAUUUGCGCAUGCUCGCUUGCUCUUCCACGCCGACGACGAGGAGGACCUCUUCCUCUUCCGAGACGACGACGGGGACCGAUGAGGCGCAAGGUGGAGGCGUCGGUGACGACGGGGCCGGGCUCCGCCUGCUGCAUGCUCACGCAGACAAUAGACGCCAUGGAGCUGAAUUCAAGCCAGCAUGUUGGAUUGGACGAGCCAGUCCUAAUCCGAGGCAACGAGGAGUCGGAGCAAGAGAAGGAAACACCAUCUUAAUCUCACCUUUCUUACCGAGUGUGGCCAUAUCGAUGGGAGUUAUGUGUGAGUUUAAGGUGCAUGCUUAUCCAAUUGCUACCAACCAGACGUGUCUAUUUCUCAUGUAUUUUGCUGGCUGUUAGCCGGGCCCAAGCAAUACGCGUGCAUGUAUCUUCAAAAGAUAAGCAACCGAGUUGUCAACGCCCUUAAACAACGUGUCAGGCAGAUUAGAGGGCUCUGGCCGGAAUAUUUUAUUCAUGCAGAAUAGUAUUGAGGAGUAUUCCUACGUAAAAGCACUCAUGCUAAUGCUUGUGAUUGGCCCUUGUAAUUAGCAUGCCCAUGUAACGUAGUUCUUGCCCGUUGCAUCACUGUCAAAAUAAACAAGCUCAGACUUGUAUAUUUUUCUUUGACCGCAAACUUGUACGUCUGA
Molecule: long non-coding RNA, 1242 nt
Organism: Aegilops tauschii subsp. strangulata
Lineage: Eukaryota; Viridiplantae; Streptophyta; Magnoliopsida; Poales; Poaceae
Source: RefSeq, a predicted model, not a curated record